AUUAUCGUAGGGCUUCGGCCCUGUCGAGAUAGAACCCUUGCCUUUUUGAGUACCUUUCGUUUCCUCGGCAGGCUCGCCUGCCAAUGGGGACCACAAAAAACACUUUGCAGUACCUGUAACAGUCUGAACAAACAAAACAAAAAUUAAAACUUUCAACGACGGAUCUCUUGGUUCUGGCAUCGAUGAAGAACGCAGCGAAAUGCGAUAAGUAGUGUGAAUUGCAGAAUUCAGUGAAUCAUCGAAUCUUUGAACGCACAUUGCGCCCUUUGGUAUUCCUUAGGGCAUGCCUGUUCGAGCGUCAUUUAAACCUUCAAGCUAAGCUUGGUGUUGGGUGACUGUCCGCUUCACUGCGGACUCGCCUCAAAAUUAUUGGCGGCCGGUACAUUGGCUUCGAGCGCAGCAGAAACGCGAACUCGGGCCCGUCGUAUUGGCUCCCAGAAGCUAUCUUCACAAUUUUGACCUCGGAUCAGGUAGGGAUACCCGCUGAACUUAAGCAUAUCAAUAAGCGGAGGA
This 513-nucleotide ribosomal RNA is filed under the name uncultured Pleosporales. Its description in RNAcentral is "eukaryotic LSU rRNA". The stretch from base 148 to 301 matches the Rfam family "5.8S ribosomal RNA". The record is from RNAcentral. Lineage: Eukaryota; Fungi; Ascomycota; Dothideomycetes; Pleosporales.